CAUACCAUCCCGAACACACCCAAUCUCCUCUGAUUUGAGAAGCUAAGCAAGAUUUUGCUUAGUUAGUACUUGGAUGGAGGCCACCAGGAAGUAUCAGGUAUGU
RNAcentral lists this ribosomal RNA (103 nucleotides) under Pogona vitticeps (central bearded dragon). Lineage: Eukaryota; Metazoa; Chordata; Lepidosauria; Squamata; Agamidae. The record is from RNAcentral.